RNAcentral lists this transfer RNA (72 nucleotides) under Coemansia helicoidea. RNAcentral's name for it is "tRNA-Lys". It matches the Rfam family "tRNA". From Rfam's summary of the family: Transfer RNA (tRNA) molecules are approximately 80 nucleotides in length. Their secondary structure includes four short double-helical elements and three loops (D, anti-codon, and T loops). Further hydrogen bonds mediate the characteristic L-shaped molecular structure. tRNAs have two regions of fundamental functional importance: the anti-codon, which is responsible for specific mRNA codon recognition, and the 3' end, to which the tRNAs corresponding amino acid is attached (by aminoacyl-tRNA synthetases). tRNAs cope with the degeneracy of the genetic code in two manners: having more than one tRNA (with a specific anti-codon) for a particular amino acid; and 'wobble' base-pairing, i.e. permitting non-standard base-pairing at the 3rd anti-codon position. RNAcentral also lists the same sequence under 1 other name. Lineage: Eukaryota; Fungi; Kickxellomycota; Kickxellomycetes; Kickxellales; Kickxellaceae. The record is from RNAcentral.
GCCUUGUUAGCUCAGUGGUAGAGCAUUCGGCUUUUAACCGAAUGGCCGUGGGUUCGACCCCCACACAAGGCG